GGAGCGGAGUGGGGCGCCUGAGACAUUUUGUGGCGGUUCGGCGGUCAAGAUCCCUCGGAGUUAGAGGGACUUAAAGACGGACAGUUCCUAGAGAAAGGUUGUUCUUAGUCGCAAGAUCCCUUUGCUAAAAUAAAGAGAUUCAUCCAAGCUGAGGUCUGAAAGAGGAAGCAUGAGGGCUACGGGCUGCCUCAAUGUCCAAGGUGCGGCCUGUCCGGGAUGCGGGAAUGAGAACUCGGGACAUGGGGAAGCGGAGGAGCGGGAGUGGAAACGUCUGAGCCAGAAAGCACGUGGGGGACAGAGGAGGCGCCUGGACUGGGGAGUGGAGGCCUGAUUCCUGAUUCGCCAAGCUACUGGUCCCCCUCUGAGGAACCUGGACACUGGAGCAUCUCAGCGAUUCCUUCUAGAUGCCGAGGCCUGGGUUUUUUGGUUUUGGUUUUUUUUUUUUGAAGGUAGACACGUGGUGUUUUGUUUUGUUUUGUUUUGGUGGUGGGGAGGGAGUAGUAUUUCCUGUGAUAUUUGAGACAGUUUUUGCAGGGCUAGGAAGUAGGCGCUCAGUUGGUGUUACUCACUAAAUUGUAAGGUUGAUGAAAGCAAAAAUUAGAGCUACAGGGUCUAUCAGAAUCUCACUGUCUGCAAGCCACCUCACUAUUUACCCUUCUUGCUUCCAGAAACGCUUUUCCAACUAAACGUUAUCUUGUGCUUCUGCAUUUACUCAACCCUCAUUAAGACUCCUAACACUCGGUGUAUUUUGUUUCCACAAAGUGAAGUAGGCCUCCAAUCAGUGGUAGGUUCUUUUUGCAUGGGCCGAAAUAAUAGAUGGUUGUCUCUGGAUGACACCAAAACUGUAAGUGGUGGCUAUGCUUAAAAACUUGCUAUGAGCAAUGUUAAAAGAAUACCUUGUUAAAAAAAAAAAAAGAGAGAGAGAAAAGGUUAAAUCAUGACUCUCCUACAAACAUAAACACAUACCGAAGAUUUAAGUUAACUCACUAAUUCCUGAGGAGGUGUGUAAGAUGAUGCUGGUGGUUCAAAGAUGAUCCAAAAGGCAGGCACAUGUGUAGGCGAUCAGGAAUGCUGGAAUGAAUUUGCUUAGUGGAGGCAAAACUGGCUUUUUCCACAGUGGGGAAGUCAGUUAAACUCUGAUACAGGAAAAAGAGUGGUGCGUGAAAGGAUGGCUGUGUUUCAGGUGUUGGUUGAGUCCCUGGGACGUGCCCCACUAAGUGAGAGUCCCUGGCUUUGCGCAGGAAAGAAUUCAAGAGCAAGCCAUAGUUGAGUAAAAGUAGAUAUAUUUAGCAGGGUGGGGGAGAGGUUAAAGAAUGGGUAGAUACACACUUCAUAAACGGAGUGCGGGCUGUCAGAAGGCAAGAGAGUAGGAGUGACUGUGAGGUGUGGUGUUGCUAGUAUUGUUUUGUUUUUGCAGAGGGACAGAGGGAAAACUGCUGUACUUCUUAAAAGAGGAAAAGGAAAAAAAGUGCUCCAGCGAGGAAAAGGUGCAGGAGUGGGAAGCUGUCAGCCAGGAUAGCCAGUAGAGACAGCUCCUGGUGUUGCUAUUUUUUAUAUGCUACUAAGUGAGAGAAUUACUCCAACUACUUUGGGGAAGGUGCCGGGAUUCCCAGGAAUUGGGCCACCACCCUCUCUUUGACCUUUCACCCUUAGCUUCAGAACUGCCAUGGCUCUUGUGGGUGUGUCAUUCACCAUGCUAGUACAUUACAAAGUGUGUAAUGUAGCUCAAGGUCCACUGGAGGUCGAAUCUCCCUCCAUCUUGGGCCUCAGGGUACAUUGGGAAUUGACUUUGCUGCCAUUUUGGUGCUAACUGCUUUGUCAUUCCUUUAGUGGCUAUGCCCUGCCCCCUUCCCUCCUGUCUCACUUCCACCAGACAAGAUUCAUUUGUAUGUCUGAUGGGUCAAUAUCACUUAUGAAUAUAGAUGCAAAAUCCUCAACAAAAUACUAGCCAGUCGACUCCAACAAUGCAUAAGAAGGAUCAUACACCAUGGUCAAGUGGGAUUUAUCCCAGGGAUGCAAGGAUUUUUCAAUAUCUGUAAAUCAGUCUGUGUGAUACACCACAUUAACAAACUGAGGAAUAAAAACCAUAUGAUCAUCUCAAUAGAUGCAGAAAAAGCCUUUGAUAAAAUUCAACAUCCAUUUAUGACAAAAACUCCCCAGAAAGUGGGCAUAGAGGGAACAUCUUGACACAAGAAAGGCCAUAUAUGACAAACCCACAGAGGGCAUGGAAACUUUGCACACUUUCCCCAUACUUUGCCUUAUGGUGUCUUCCAUUUGGCUGUUCCUGUGCCAUAUCCUUUCAUAAUAAACCAGUAAUCUAGUGAGUAAACUGGCUUCCAGAGUUCUGUAAUUUGCUCUAGGAAAUUAACGGAACCUGAGGAAGCAGUCUGGUAAACUCCAAACUAUUGCCUGUGUGUCAGAAGCUCAGGUGACAGCCUGGACUUGUGAUUGGUAUCUAAAGUAUGUGUUUGUUUGGUGGGAGUGGAAAGUCUUGUAGGGCUGAACCCUUAAACUAUGGAAUCAGAUACCAUCUUCAGGUAGAGAAGAUUGGAUUCUAGUUUCAUUCUUUUUCAUGUGGAUAUACAGUUCCUUGCCCUCUCCUAGCAAGUCACUCUCUGUGAAUCUCAUGUUCACCAACUUGGAAACUCUCCAAAUCCCUGUGCUCUUAGGGUUUUUAUGGAUGCUUCAGUACAAAGGCAUCGCUGAUUCAAUAACUGGCCAUUGGAGAUUGUUUCAACCUCCAGCCACUCUCCUCCCCUGAGGUCAGGGGUAUGGGACUGAAAGUUUCAACCCUCUAAUCACAUGUUUUCCUGGCAACCAGCCCCUAUCCUUAGGCUCAGUCCAAAAAGUCAAUUAACCUAACAAGAGAUACCUUUAACACUCUUACCACUUAGGAAAUGCCAAGGGCGUUGGGAGCUCUGUGCCAGAAACAGGGUCAAACCCAAAUAUGUGUUUUUUUAAUUAUAAAUCAUGAUAUCAUAGACCUGAAUAGGCAUUUCUCCAAAGAAGAUAUACAAAUGGCCAACAGGUACAUGAGAAAGUGCUCUAUAUUGCUAAUCAUCAGGGAAAUGCAAAUCAAAACUACAAUGAGAUAUCAUCACCUCACAUCUGUUAGAAUGGCUAUUGUGAAAAAGACGAGAUGAGCACUGAUAAGGACAAGGGAAAAAGGGAACUUCUGCACGCUGUGGAUGGGAAUGUAAUUGGUACAGCCACUAUGGAAAACAGUAUGGAGGUUCCACAAAAAUUUAAAAAUAGAACUACCAUAUGAUCUAGUAAUCCCACUUACAUGUAUACAUAAAAGGAAAUGAAAUCAGGAUCUUGAAGAUGUAUCUGCACUGACAUGUUCACUGCAGCAUUAUUCACAAUAGCCAAGAUAUGGAAGCAACCUGAGUGUGUAAGAUGAAUGGAUAAAAACGUGGCAUAUAUAUACACAAUGGAU
Long non-coding RNA from Camelus dromedarius (Arabian camel), 3439 nucleotides. RefSeq lists it as uncharacterized. The record is from RefSeq and is a predicted model, not a curated record. The transcript has 2 exons. Lineage: Eukaryota; Metazoa; Chordata; Mammalia; Artiodactyla; Camelidae.